UAGUGGCGGACGGGUGAGUAACAUUUAGGAAUCUGCCUAGUAGUGGGGGAUAGCUCGGGGAAACUCGAAUUAAUACCGCAUACGACCUACGGGUGAAAGGGGGCGCAAGCUCUUGCUAUUAGAUGAGCCUAAAUCAGAUUAGCUAGUUGGUGGGGUAAAGGCCCACCAAGGCGACGAUCUGUAACUGGUCUGAGAGGAUGAUCAGUCACACCGGAACUGAGACACGGUCCGGACUCCUACGGGAGGCAGCAGUGGGGAAUAUUGGACAAUGGGGGCAACCCUGAUCCAGCCAUGCCGCGUGUGUGAAGAAGGCCUUUUGGUUGUAAAGCACUUUAAGCAGGGAGGAGAGGCUAAUGGUUAAUACCCAUUAGAUUAGACGUUACCUGCAGAAUAAGCACCGGCUAACUCUGUGCCAGCAGCCGCGGUAAUACAGAGGGUGCGAGCGUUAAUCGGAAUUACUGGGCGUAAAGCGAGUGUAGGUGGCUCAUUAAGUCACAUGUGAAAUCCCCGGGCUUAACCUGGGAACUGCAUGUGAUACUGGUGGUGCUAGAAUAUGUGAGAGGGAAGUAGAAUUCCAGGUGUAGCGGUGAAAUGCGUAGAGAUCUGGAGGAAUACCGAUGGCGAAGGCAGCUUCCUGGCAUAAUAUUGACACUGAGAUUCGAAAGCGUGGGUAGCAAACAGGAUUAGAUA
RNAcentral lists this ribosomal RNA (690 nucleotides) under Priestia megaterium. RNAcentral describes it as "bacterial SSU rRNA". It matches the Rfam family "Bacterial small subunit ribosomal RNA", at positions 93 to 784 of the family's 1533-position model. Lineage: Bacteria; Bacillati; Bacillota; Bacilli; Caryophanales; Bacillaceae. The record is from RNAcentral.